GCUCCGCUCCGGGUUUUCCCGGCGACCUGCAUCCAGAGAGGGUCGACUGACCUGCGGGCCGGCUGCUGGCGGUCUGCUUACUCCGGCAAAGACGGGGGCGCAUCGGGCCGUUUGAGGAAGGCAGACUGUGAAAGGACUUGGGACAAAGAUGAGGCGGAGUAGAGGCGGCCUGAGCAGAGCAGAACAACUUUGAUAUUUAGUUUUAUUUAACUCGCACUCCUCUCCUUGCUCCCCUUCCCCAAAACAACUUUCUCUUCCGGGGUCACACAGGACCGCCCCAAAGCGUACCUUGCGCGCCGGGGGCGCCAGGCGCUACUGGAUUCGGUGUAGUUUUGAGGUGUUUGCACCACCCUCGCUGCUGCUUUCGUGGCUGCCCGUGUGCCCGCUGCUCACGGCUGCCCCAGAAGUGUGAGCUGGCCGCGCCCGGCCCUCUGGUCCUCGGGCACCGCCUGCAGGCUUUGUAACUUGGGAGCACAUCUCUGGUGAUCAUGGUUUAUGCAGUGAGUGAUAGUAAAUCCUCCUCCCUGUACCAGCAAAGGCAUAGGAGUCUGAGAGUCUGCGAGAUUCUCAUAGAUGUGGUUGCACCUGGCAAGGAGCCCAGCUGCAGAAAUAAGCAGGCAAACGCGAGUUUCUGAGCCAGUUCCAGCCCGGCCCAGAUGUUGGCCCCUGACAACUAGCUGUGGCUGGUGCGGAGGGAGGAGCGAGGGAAGAGGGGCAGAUCGAGGCUGCCAGGUGAGCAUCCUCCAUACAGCUCCUGCUUUUCUGCUACAACCCCAGUCCCGUCCAGCCCGGAUGACCGGGGAGGCUCACUAUUGGGUUAUAACAACCAUUCCCUCGCCCCGACUCAUUCCUGCGGACCACGGCCGGAAUCCUGAACUGCCCCUCUUUGCCUGUAACUGUUUGCAACACAGUCCCCAUCUCCGAAUAACCAAAUUUUCUCCUUUAAUGAAGGGUUGCUAAAGUCAAGGUCAAUCACAAUGAUGAAUCAUUUCCUUGGGGGCUUCUCUGAUUCCCCACCCGGCCGCCCCUUCGUUCCACACUUUCCCUUUCAAGCAUACUCAAACUCCAGGUUUCCACCUGCGGCCGCUGCCACGCUGGCUCUCCCACACUCACUCCCGCCCUCCAGCUGCUAUAGCUAAAAUCUGGAGCCACGGAGUUCACUUUUCUAUAGAAGACAAAGCUGAGCAUGCUCAGUGGCCAAGGCAAAGUUUGGUCGGAAACUAGUUUUUGCAUUAGACUCUCCAUGGGCUCCAUAGACUCUCCUGUACCUUACGACUAGGCACAGGAGCGUUUCCCCGGUGAAAUGGAGAAGAGGACACUUGGUCUUUUCAACUUUACUAGGAGGGCUCCUUUCUUCCCAGUCCGUAAGGAGGGGUCUGACUUUCAUUUCCACCCCAGCAUUAUCACCUUAACUCUCAUUCCAGUCAAUCCCGAAACUCCGUUGCCCUACCCACUUCACCCUUCUUUUGUUUGUCCUGAUUUGAUUCCUGCGUUCUCACAGAGGGCUACCUGGACUUUGAACCUCCACCCCCCUUUCUACAUUCUUGCAUUCCAGAAACAUAUGAAGCUCAUUUCUGCCACCCUUCCUAGAAAACUGGUUCCUGACAGAGACAUGUGGAAAGUAUCUGCACCCAAGGACCCACACCCAAGGAGCAGUACCAGAGGGAACACAUCUGAAGAGCCCUAUCUGGAUUUGCCAACAUGAUUUAGAUGAUAAGAUACUGGACUUUGAGCUGGUGCCAUAAUGGGAUGAGGCUUUGGGAGUCCAAAGGGAGAUAAGUGUAAGUGUAUUUCACCGGUGAAGAAUGUAAAACAUAAAAGGCCAGAACAUGAACUCUGCAGCUAAUCUCCAAAGAUGGCUCUCAGUGAACCACACCUCAUGGAAUUCAUGUCCUUGCAUAGUCCCCUCCCGCACUGAAUCUGGGUUAACUUUGUGACUUUCUCUAACUAUCAGAAUGUGACAGAAGUAACAAUAUGAUACAUCCCUCCAUUUAGUGAGAUCAUCUUUAAUUUCUCCCAAUAAUGUUUUGUAGUUUUCUGUGUAGAGGUCUUACAAAUUUUUUAGAUUGAUUCUUUGACAUGUGACUUUUCUAUGCUGUUGAUAAAUGAUAUUUUGUUAAAAUUUUUAUUUUCUAAUUGCUUGUUACUAGCAUAUAGAAACUUAAUUACAUAUAGAAACUAAGUACAGGACUUUGUUUAUUGACUAUGUAUUCAGUGGCCUUGGUUAAUUCCUCUUUUAAUUGUAAUAGUUUUUCUGUAGUUCUUUUGGAUUUUUCUAUGUGUAUAAUUAUAUAUGAAUAAUGACAGAUUCAUUUCUUAAUUUCCAGUCCUCUAAUAGGGUUUCUUUAUUUCUUUUUCUAACUUUGAUGCACUAGCUAGAACCUACAAAAUAAUGUGGAAAAAAAGCAACCAUCCUUGCCUCAUUCCUGAUUUUAGAGGAAAAGCUCUUAAUAUUAACUAUGAUGUUUUUAAUGGGGUUUAUUUAGAGAUCUUUGUGAAGGCAAGAGUUUUUUUAAUAAAUGAAUCUUGAGUUUUAUAAAAAAUUUUUACUGCAUCUAUCAAGAUGGUCAUAUGAUUUUUAAAUUCUGUUACUGCAGUAAAUUAUAUUGAUUUUUUAAUCUAAAAACAAUCUUACAUAUCUGAAAUAAACCCACUUUGGUCAUGAUGCAUUAUUCUUUUUGUGUAACACUGGAUUUGAUUCUUUUAUUUAUUUAUUUUAGAGUUUUUGCUUAUAUGUUCACAAGAGACAGUGACUUGUUAUUUUUUUCUUGUAUGUUCUUGUCAGGUUUGAGAAUCAAGGAUAUGUUGGUCUUACAAAAUUAUUUGGGAAGUACUUGUUCUUUUUUAACUUUCUGGAAAAGUUUUUAUAAAUUUGAUAUGAUUACUUCUUUAAAUAUUUGGUAAACUUCACUAGGGAAGCAUCUAGGAUGGGAAAAUUUUUAGUUAUGGACUCAAUUUCUUUAAUAGAUAUAAAACUAUUCAAAUCCUUCUAUUUCCAACACUCUGAUUUUGGCACAUUGAGAUUCUCUAUGAAUUUGUCUAUUUUAUCUAAAUUUUCAAAAUUACUGACAUAAAAGUCACAUAGACCUCUUAGGAUUUUUUUAAAUGAGUUUUCAUUCUUGAAAUUAUUUAUUUGCACAUUCUCACUCUCUCUUCUUGAUCAAACUGGCCAGAUGUUUGUCAAUUUAAGGCUCUUAAAAAAAAAGAUACAACCUUUGGAUUUGUUAAACCUCAUUAUACAUGUAUUUGUAUUUUUUCCAUUGGUUUCUAGUUUGUUGUUUAUAAUUUACCUAAUUUACUUUUUUUGAGUUAAAAUUUGCUUUUCUUUUUCAAACUUCUUGAAAUGGAUACUUACAUGAUUCUAUUUCCCUAAUGCUUUAUUUAAGCCUAUAAAUUUCCCUUGAAUCAUAGACUCGGAUUCAGCCCACCCAUUUUGAUAUGUUACAUUUUUAAUAUAUUAAAUAUAAAAUGUCUUCUCAUUCCUAUUGUGAUUUUGGUUUGACCUAUUGAAUCAUUUAGUAGUACAUUAUUAACUUCUAAAACUGGGAGGUUUUAGUAUGGCAUUUUUGUUAUUUAUUGCUCGUUUAAUUAUAUGUGGUCAGAAAGCAUAUUCCAUAUUAUUUCAGUUUCUUAAUCUUUGUUAAGGCUUCCUUUAUGGUCAAGCAUAUGGUCAAAUUUUUAAAUAAAAUUCUAUA
Molecule: long non-coding RNA, 3695 nt
Organism: Homo sapiens (human)
Lineage: Eukaryota; Metazoa; Chordata; Mammalia; Primates; Hominidae
Source: Ensembl